Molecule: long non-coding RNA, 307 nt
Filed under: Gossypium barbadense (sea-island cotton)
Lineage: Eukaryota; Viridiplantae; Streptophyta; Magnoliopsida; Malvales; Malvaceae
Description: long non-coding RNA (GBAR_LNC014809)
Source: RNAcentral
CUACAUAUGCUCUUCUAAUGAGAUACCGAGGUCACAAAGAUCUCGGUUUUGAUGGUCCACUAGAGGAGGGGGCUGAGGGGCUAGUUCAAUAGAUUGUAUGGCUACUGGAGGUUUUGUUGUCUAUUAAAGAAAAACUGAGAUGUCUCUUCCUCUUGGAUUGAACGAUCAAAUCUCGCAGGAUCCCUACCAACUCAUUUCUAGCAUUCUUAUGGUCUAACAAAUGCUAAUAUUCCUACUAUUCUUGAUACAACCCUUGCUAUUUUAAAAGUUGGGUUUCAAGGAGCCUUAUUUUUUUUUUUGAAUCUCA